Long non-coding RNA from Callithrix jacchus (white-tufted-ear marmoset), 2105 nucleotides. The record is from Ensembl. Lineage: Eukaryota; Metazoa; Chordata; Mammalia; Primates; Cebidae.
AGCAGGCUCAAUUUGCAAUAAUCUGAUACUUUCCAAUGGGUGAGGAAAGAGCUUAAGAAUUGCAUUCUCUUCGGGACAAUGAGACUGUACAAUAGUCCGCUGUUUUGCUUUGUUAAAACAAGUAAUGGAAAAUGAUUUCACCAAUUCUUUUUAGGCAUAAGUGUGUCACAGAAGGUUUUUUUUCUAAUAGACUGUUGCUUAGCUGGCCAUAAGUGGCCAGGAAGAAGGUCCUGAAAUUCAGCUACAUAUGAAGAACAGAUGGAUUCCCCAGGUCUGGGCAAGUGAGGAGAUAAGGCUAGAGGAGGGUACUUAGGCAAAAAGCAGCAUGGAGGUAAUAAUAAAUAAGAGUUCACGUGUUAGAAAGUCAUAAUCGUCCUUGGGUGGAGAUCAAUCUUUCCUUGCUUGCUUUUCUGCUUCCUGCUGAGUAUGAAUGGACCAAAGUUUAUAGGAGCCAAUUCCUGGCCUAAAGAAGAUGAGAGAUCUGUGGAUAAUGGCAACAAUCAUGAUAGUAAGUACUUAGCUGAUGACUACUAUGCUUACUAUUCAAAGCAUUUAACAUAUUUUAGCUCAUUAGUCCUCACAGUGACUCUAUGAUAUAGAUGCUAGUAUUAUUUCCAUUUUACAGAUGUAGAAAAUGAAAGAGAGGAAAUAAGAGUUUAUAUUAACUCCUAAGCAUAAUAAAUGGGGGUGCCAGGAUUUGAACAUAGGUAGUCUGUCCCGAGUCCAUGCUCAUAACUUUGUUGCUUGGCAUAUAUUGUCCAACAUAAUUUGGCUUGCCUAUUAAAAUGUUUUUCAGAUGAACCUUCCCUGUGAGUCAACUUGAAAGUAUAAGCCUUGAAAAUACCAGUGCUCUUUCAGGAAGUACCUCUGGCAGCUGGGAAAAUAUGGAAGUAGCCUCUGUGAUUCGAUGGAUGAAUUGGUUCCAUUCUUACUUGCCUGAAGAAUGGUCUUCAAGCCCUUCUGCACGCAUCUUAAGCAUACACGUGGGUAUUCAGAACAUGACCUCUCCUCUGUCAACACAAAAAGAAACAAAAUUAAGGACCUCUCCCAAGUGCUUAGGUAAUCUUUAAGGCUUUUUGUGGGUUUGGGACAUUUUGGGAUCACCUUGGUCUUAUAAACCAAUACAAUUGCUGAGAUGAUUUUCACCAGUGCAGAUGAAUAAUAUCCUAUCUUUGGAAAUGACAGAAUCAAAUAAAAAACACUGAGAUCCACAAAUGAAUUAUUGGCCUAGAACAGGUCCACUUUCUGGAGAGAAUAAGAAAAUAUUAAGAAUUGCAGUAAAGAAUACUGAAGUCUUUUUCUCUCAGGGCUCAUGUGUCUAGGCUGUUGAGAUUUGCUAAGACAUUUCCAGAAGCUGACCCAAAACCUGUAUUUUGGUGUUAGCAUCUGCCAUUCCACAAAUUUACUCCAUCAUCCAGACAAUUCAUACAGCUUGCUCUUCCUUUGUUUAACCUCAUUCCCUCGGCUUGGAACGUGCUCAUUAACUUUAUCCGAGCCAACUCAUCCUUUGGUGACCAGAUAAAUAUACCACCUCCCCAAAGCCUUCCGCCCCAUGCCAGGUCUAAGAGAGACUCGAGCCUCCCAACUCCUGGGGCACUUUUGGUGAUUCCAAUGGUAGUGACGCAAUCUGCUUUGCAUAGGAAUUACAACCAGAAGGCAGGUUUCUUGACAUUAAGAACCAUUUCUCCUUUGUGUUUGUAUCUCUACAAAAUUGAGUAUGGAUUUCUCAGCCAACAUUUAUUGAGAGAUUAAAUUUGAAAUUACGUUAUUGGUUUCUUUUUAGAUUGUUCAUUCAGCAUAUAGAAAUGCUACUGAUUUUUGUACAUUGGUUUUGUAUCCUGCGACUUUACUGAAAUUAUCAGUUCUGAUAGGUUUUUGAUGGAGUCUUUAGGUUUCUCUUAAUGUAUAUGUUGGCAAUGAAAUGAUCAGAUUUCUUCCUUAAACAUAAGCAGUCCUGUAGAGAACAUGAACUGUAGUCUUGUUUCGCUUCCUUUAAUCACGAACUAUUCAUUUGUUUACUCAUGCUUUUAAUAAGCAUUUGAUUGACUUUUAAGGAUGGCACUUAGGGGCCAAAGGGCUUGGCAAUAAGUGGGAAAAGACUGCAG